Molecule: transfer RNA, 67 nt
Filed under: Halyomorpha halys (brown marmorated stink bug)
Lineage: Eukaryota; Metazoa; Arthropoda; Insecta; Hemiptera; Pentatomidae
Description: tRNA-Met
Source: RNAcentral
AGUAAAGUAAGCUAAAUUUUAAGCUAUCAGGUUCAUACCCUGCCUAUAGAGUAAUCUCUCUUUACUA